UGAGCCAGAGAUGUGUGGUAAUGGAAUUCGAUGCCUUGCCAAAUUUAUAGCUGAGCUUGAGAAUUUCCAUGGAAAGAAAAGUUUCACCAUACAUACAGGGGCUGGACUUAUAGUUCCUGAAAUCCAAGAUGAUGGAAAGGUUAGGGUUGACAUGGGUGAGCCCAUUCUAAAGGCAGCAGAUGUGCCCACUAAACUACCCCCUAACAGAGAUCAAUCUGUCGUUAAAUCAAGUCUAGAUGUAGAUGGAAGCACAUGGAAUGUAACCUGUGUUAGCAUGGGGAAUCCCCAUUGUGUCACUUUUGGUACAGCACAGCAGGACUUGCAAGUAGAUGAACUAAAAUUAGCAGACAUUGGUCCAAAGUUUGAACAUCAUGAGAUGUUUCCUGCUCGCACGAACACAGAAUUUGUUCAAGUUUUCUCCCCAACACACCUUAAAAUGCGUGUCUGGGAACGUGGUGCAGGCGAGACACUAGCCUGUGGGACAGGAGCUUGUGCCGUAGUUGUUGCAGCAGUUCUUGAGGGCCGUGCUGCAAGGCGUUGUACUGUUGAUCUGCCUGGUGGACCACUUGACAUUGAGUGGAGUGAGAAAGACAACCAUAUAUACAUGACGGGGCCAGCAGAGGUAGUUUUCUAUGGGUCAGCUCCUCUUUGAGCCCCUAAAUGUAAGUUUAUUUGUACUUCAUCCUUUCUGUAAGUUCCAGAAUUCAUAAAUUUGCUCUAAAUCUUUGCCAACUUCGUUGGAGAAUGAAAGAAAUGCAGACGAAUUGAUCUUGGA
RNAcentral lists this unclassified non-coding RNA (775 nucleotides) under Hevea brasiliensis (rubber tree). Lineage: Eukaryota; Viridiplantae; Streptophyta; Magnoliopsida; Malpighiales; Euphorbiaceae. The record is from RNAcentral.